Molecule: ribosomal RNA, 401 nt
Filed under: uncultured bacterium
Lineage: Bacteria
Description: bacterial SSU rRNA
Rfam family: Bacterial small subunit ribosomal RNA
Source: RNAcentral
UGGGGAAUAUUGGACAAUGGGGGAAACCCUGAUCCAGCAAUGCCGCGUGGGUGAAGAAGGUCUUCGGAUUGUAAAUCCCUUUCGGCGGGGACGAUGAUGACGGUACCCGCAGAAGAAGCUCCGGCUAACUUCGUGCCAGCAGCCGCGGUAAUACGAAGGGGGCUAGCGUUGCUCGGAAUGACUGGGCGUAAAGGGCGCGUAGGCGGUUGGUACAGUCGGAUGUGAAAUUCCUGGGCUUAACCUGGGGGCUGCAUUCGAUACGUGCUGGCUUGAGUGUGGAAGAGGGUUGUGGAAUUCCCAGUGUAGAGGUGAAAUUCGUAGAUAUUGGGAAGAACACCGGUGGCGAAGGCGGCAACCUGGUCCAUGACUGACGCUGAGGCGCGAAAGCGUGGGGAGCAAAC